AAUGUGGUGCUAAAGUGCUUAUAGUGCAGGUAGUUGUUUGUGUAUUCUACUGCAUUAUGAGCACUUAAAGUACUUCUAG
RNAcentral lists this microRNA precursor (79 nucleotides) under Xenopus laevis (African clawed frog). RNAcentral's name for it is "mir-17 microRNA precursor family". It matches the Rfam family "mir-17 microRNA precursor family". From Rfam's summary of the family: This family represents the microRNA (miRNA) precursor mir-17, family, which includes mir-20, mir-91, and mir-103. miRNAs are transcribed as ~70nt precursors (modelled here) and subsequently processed by the Dicer enzyme to give a ~22nt product. In this case the mature sequence comes from the 3' arm of the precursor. The record is from Rfam by way of RNAcentral. Lineage: Eukaryota; Metazoa; Chordata; Amphibia; Anura; Pipidae.